GUCUACAGCCAUGCUACCCUGAACACGCCCGAUCCUGUCUGAUCUCAGAAUCUAAGCAGGGUCGGGCCUGGUUAGUACCUGGAUGGGAAAUCACCUAGGAAGACCAGGUACUAUAGGCG
RNAcentral lists this ribosomal RNA (119 nucleotides) under Pteropus alecto (black flying fox). The record is from RNAcentral. Lineage: Eukaryota; Metazoa; Chordata; Mammalia; Chiroptera; Pteropodidae.